GCGCUGUGGCUGCUGCUUGCCGCGCGACUCCUGAGUCUUAUUAUUACAUAGAUAAAAGUUGUCACACACCCAUGGCAUGCUUGCUCUUCACCCUGCAUGCGUGCAGCUGGCGUGCAUAUAUAUAUAUGCGGGUGGAUGAGCAGUCAGUGCAAUCAGCAGCGGUAUGGGACGAACCCAACCUUCCCUCCGCGCACGUCGUACACCACCUCCGUCGACAUCUGCGCCAUGCUCCCAAUCACGGUGCCGCCAUCACAAUCAUCAUCCUGCGCUACAAACGCGAGGCACCCAAUGGAGAAGUGGUUAUCGGGGUCGGUGAAGUACAUCAUUUCAUCCAUCCAGAGGUCGACGUCUGCCCCGCCGGCGAACUUGAGCGUCACGGCCGGCACGGAGAAAGCGUCCAACCCGGUGAAGUUGUAGCACGUGUCCAGGCUUCCGAGCGGCGGCGCGGCAGGGUACUCCGACAUGGACUUGCGGAAGCUGUCGCGGAGGACCUUGUACACCUGGGGCUUGAGGUAGGUGAACGUCGUGUGCAGCUCGAGGAUGGUGUCGUCUCCGGCGAUGGCGGCGGGCGGGAUCGGGAGGUCCGGGCCGCCGAGGCCCAGCCCGACGAGAUCCACGACGUACAGGUUCCCGUUGCUGGGGCUUCCCCUCAGUGGGGUGUAGCUCACCUUGCGUCCCAAGAGUUCCGGCUUGGUGGCGCCGAGCGAGAGGAAGCCUACAUCGGCCGUGGAGGCCGGCAGGCAGUAGGAGAAGGCGACCGCGUGCGGCGGAGAGGAGGCGACGAGGCGGGACGGCAGGGAGUGGCUGUUCCGGCUGAGGUCGAGGAUGCCAGCAGAGCCAUCCUCGGCCGGGCCCGGCGCGAUGCCCUCGAGACACGCGAACCUGAACUUGUCCACCGUGGCCGACGACGACGGCGUCAGGGUCAGCG
This 928-nucleotide unclassified non-coding RNA is filed under the name Zea mays. RNAcentral's name for it is "misc RNA Zm00001eb281120". Lineage: Eukaryota; Viridiplantae; Streptophyta; Magnoliopsida; Poales; Poaceae. The record is from RNAcentral.